GUCCUCGUCCGAAGAUCUGUCCUUAUACCACAUUAGACAAGGUCCUGUUACGGAGCUGCGCCUGCUUCUUUUUCGUUUGUGGGUGUGGUGAGUGGCGAACGGGUGAGUAUCACGUGAGCAACCUGCCCUCCUCUCCUGGAUAACCUCAUGAAAGUGGGGCUAAUACGGGGUGUGCCCGUGCUGGUCGCAUGGCUGGUGCGGGAUAGGGCCUGCCUGUGGGUGGGUCUGGUGGGGGAUGGGCUCGCGGCCUAUCAGCUUGUUGGUGGGGUGAGGGCCUACCAAGGCGGUGACGGGUAGCCGGCCUGAGAGGGUGGGCGGCCACACUGGGACUGAGACACGGCCCAGACUCCUGCGGGAGGCAGCAGUGGGGGAUAUUGCACAAUGGGCGAAAGCCUGAUGCAGCGACGCCGCGUGAGGGACGGAGGCCUUCGGGUCGUGAACCUCUUUCGCCAGCGGAGAAGGUCCUGCCCUGUGUGGUGGGGCUGACGGUAGCUGGGUAAGAAGCGCCGGCUAACUACGUGCCAGCAGCCGCGGUAAUACGUAGGGCGCGAGCGUUGUCCGGAGUUACUGGGCGUAAAGGGCUUGUAGGCGGCUGGUCGCGCCUGCCGUGAAAUGCCCCGGCUCAACCGGGGGAGUGCGGUGGGUACGGGCCGGCUUGAGUGCGGUAGGGGAGGCCGGAACUCCUGGUGUAGCGGUGGAAUGCGCAGAUAUCAGGAGGAACACCGGUGGCGAAGGCGGGUCUCUGGGCCGUUACUGACGCUGAGGAGCGAAAGCGCGGGGAGCGAACAGGAUUAGAUACCCUGGUAGUCCGCGCCGUAAACGUUGGGCACUAGGUGUGGGGGCUCUUUUCCGGGGCGCCCCGCGCCGCAGCUAACGCAUUAAGUGCCCCGCCUGGGGAGUACGGGCCGCAAGGCUAAAACUCAAAGGAAUUGACGGGGGCCCGCACAAGCGGCGGAGCAUGCGGAUUAAUUCGAUGCAACGCGAAGAACCUUACCAGGGCUUGACAUGUGGGCGCGGGCCGCGGAGACGUGGUCUUCUCCUGCCUGCCGGGCUUGUCCCGGGGGGUGGGGGGUGCCCUCACAGGUGGUGCAUGGUUGUCGUCAGCUCGUGUCGUGAGAUGUUGGGUUAAGUCCCGCAACGAGCGCAACCCCUGUCCCGUGUUGCCAGCACGUGGUGGUGGGGACUCUCGGGAGACUGCCGGGGUCAACUCGGAGGAGGGUGGGGACGACGUCAAAUCAUCAUGCCCCUUAUGUCCUGGGCUUCACGCAUGCUACAAUGGCUGGUACAGAGGGCUGCGGUGCCGUGAGGCGGAGCGAAUCCCUUAAAGCCGGUCUCAGUUCGGAUCGGUGUCUGCAACUCGACACCGUGAAGCCGGAGUCGCUAGUAAUCGCAGAUCAGCACUGCUGCGGUGAAUACGUUCUCGGGCCUUGUACACACCGCCCGUCACGUCAUGAAAGCCGGUGACGCCCGAAGCCCGUGGCCCUACGGGGAGCGGUCGAAGGCGGGGCUCGGUGAAUUGGUCCAUAUUAAAAACU
RNAcentral lists this ribosomal RNA (1535 nucleotides) under Actinomyces sp. RNAcentral's name for it is "bacterial SSU rRNA". It matches the Rfam family "Bacterial small subunit ribosomal RNA". Lineage: Bacteria; Bacillati; Actinomycetota; Actinomycetes; Actinomycetales; Actinomycetaceae. The record is from RNAcentral.